Long non-coding RNA from Equus caballus (horse), 15278 nucleotides. NCBI's taxonomy places the organism in Eukaryota, Metazoa, Chordata, Mammalia, Perissodactyla, Equidae. The record is from Ensembl.
GGAAGAUUAGCCCUGAGCUAACAUCUGUGCCCUUCUUCCUCUAUUUUAUAUGUGGUACCCCUGCCACAGCAUGGCUUGAUUAUGGCUUGAUAAGCAACGUGUAGGUCCCCUGGCUGCUGAACCCCCCGGGUGCUGAAGCUGAGCAUGUGAACUUAACCCCUGCAGCACCAGGUUGGCCCCCGUAAUUUAUUUUGAUGCUCAGAUUGUCCUAAUUUGGUGAGGGGGAGUACUUUCAGGCUGGUGUCUAUAUCCUUUUGCCAAGUCCUCAUCAUUCUUUGAACAUUUUUCUUGUUUUUUGGCACAAGAUGUUCCAGGCUUAUCUUAUACUUUCCUUGGAAUCAGGCAUUUUUACAAGGAAUACUGAUUCUUGGUGUGUGUGUGGAAACCCCUCCCCGACACAGACAUCCUUCUCUCUUGCUUGUGGCUCUGCCUCCCCUCCCCAGGCUGCCCCUGCCUGGAAUACCUCUCUCUCCUGCUUGGGCUCUGACAUCCUGUGCCAGGUUGCCCCUCCACAUGGACACCCUCCUGGCGUGUUCAGGCAGAAGACUUUAAAAACCAAAGUCAGGCCAUGUCACUUCUCUGGCUCAAAACCCAAAAAUGGCUCCAUUUCACUCAGAGUAAAAGCCAGAGUCUACAUCAUCUGCUAGAAGCUUCUACACCAUCAGGAUCUGGUCCCCUUUCCCUUUCCCACCUUCUCUGCUGCUACUCCUUCCUUGCUCACUCUGCUCUGUGGACGCAUCAGGCCCUGUCCAGAUAUCUGAACUGCUCUGGCUAAGAAAGUGAGAGGGAUUUGCAUAGGCAGCUUCCCAGUGAAGGGGCGAGCGCUCCAGGAGCAAGUGCGAGCAGCAGGGAUAAGAUAUGAAGAAGAUCCAGAGGGGAUCCAGGAACAUUGAAGAAUGAAGGUGUCUCAUACGCAUGUGUAAGUUGUUUUUUGGACCUUGCAGCAACACAGCUGUGUUGUUUGGGGGUGCACUUAGCGCUCAACUCAGGCAGAUUGAGAAUACAGUGGGAACAACCCAGCGAGGCAAAUGGUGUCAAUGAGAACAUACGCACUCCCAGGAAACCAUGGGGAGGACACUGGCCUUCUCACAGCAUGUGGAAUGAUGGACAAAGCUGCUGAAACCAGCUGUGAAAGGGAAGGUUGAUCCCAGAAUUCUGGAGACUUUAGGGACUCCUAGGUGCAUGCGAUACAUAAGGGUGCAAGAAUCCACCCAAAGUCCAUCUCCCUGAUCUGGUCCAAAUGAAUCUCUAUGAUAUCCUCAAAGAAAGAGAGCUCAUCCUGCAAAGAAUUUCAUCUGAAACUGCCAGAUGUGCUCUGGAAGGAAGAGAAUCUGUACUGAAGUGGAGAAGUCUUCUCAAAUUGGGGGGAUAGGCAGUGUGCUGGGCAGAGCAUAGAACCACAGGAUCAAAUAUGAUGCACUUUCAUAUAUAUCUUGCAUUUAAAUAUUAUUGUAUAUUAAAACUGAGACACUAUGGAAUAGACUGCAACAUUGGCUCUAAUUUUUAAAUAAAUCUAAAACGGGAGUUUUUCACGUAAAGUAACCCACUGCAGCUUGUACCCUCAGAAACUGGGAGUUGUUGAUUCCCCUCUGCCACUGGAUUACUACAUUAUAAGAGUUAGAAAAGCACUGAAUGAAGGUAAAAACACUGAAGUGUCCUUUCCCCAUCACUGUUGACCUUGGGCGAAUUACCAGACUCAUCAGUUUUCUCACGUAUAAAGUAAGGAGGUUGACCAGAUGAUUUUUAGUUGGGCUGCUUUUGGCUUUUUGGAAGUCUCCUCAGGUUUCGUUUCUCUCAACAUCUCUAUUUCUGUAGGUCUGUUCUAUUCUCCUGUCUCUACCAUUUGCCUUCCUCUGCAUCCUCUGAGUUCCCAUUUUUACGUAACUUUGACCUUUUACCUGGUCCACUAUGAAUAUUGCUCCACUUUUCUCUACUUUCUGACAGUUCUUAAUUUUUAGUUUCUGCCUCUGCUGUCAAUUGCUUAGUCUGUCAGUUUCCAUUCAGUUCCUUCUACCUGAAAGGAAUCUGAUUGGCCCAGCUCAUCUUUUUGAAACAGUUCAGCUAGUCAUAGAUGGUUGGCCAGACAAUAGAUGAGGUAGCCUCAUCCUGAUGUAAUCAUUAUAGUCAGCGAGUGAUGAUGUUCUAUGUUAGGAAACGUGGCUACUCGUCCUUAGCAGGACUGUAGGGAAGUUAUAUUCCCUUAGAAGUGAAUGUAAUUGGCAGGAAUCAUUAAAAAAGUCAGAUUUAACCCCAAGCUUCUUCUGACUCAUCAAUUGUAUGAUAAGUAAGAUACUGUGUCUCACCCAGGUUCACUACUAUGAUCACUCUGACACUUAUGACUUUAAUUCCUGUAUGUUAAUGGGAUUUAUAAUACUUACCAAUGAAAAGCAAUUCUAGAAAAUGAACAGGACAUUACUAAAGGUUUUUAAGGUUGUUGAAUAUUUUAGCCUUGGUAAAGAUACAAUUGAUUCAAUUCAACAGACAUUUAUUGAAUGCCAGUUCUGGACCAGGCACGUUCUAUACUUACGGGGAUACAGCAGGGAACAAAAUGAAGGAAAUUUCUGCCCACGUAGAGCUCACAUUCUAGAAAAAUCUAAAUAAGUUUUUGUUUGCUUGUUUCCUCUUUUUAAAAAAUAUUUUAAGCAUAGAGAAUUUAUAUGACAAAAACUCACUUAUCCCCUAUCCUGUUAGUUGGAUCUCAACAUUUUGCCACACUUAACUUCAUUUAAAAAAACAUCGUUUUAAGAAAAACACUGUUUACAGAGUCAAAACUCUCCAUGGAGCCUCUAGUCCUAUUCCCUUUUCAUCUCCCCUUCCCAAGGAGCUAUGGACUGAAUUAUAUCCCACCAAUAGUCAUAUGUUGAAACACUGACUCCCAAUGUGACUGUAUUUGGAAAUAGGGCCUAUAAGGAGGUAAUAAGGCUAAAUGAGGUCAUUAGGGUGGGGGCCUGAUCCAAUGGGGCUGAUAUCUUAAAAAAAGAGGAAGAGACAUCAGAGCUCUUUCUCUGCCAUGUGAGGAUGCUGAGGAGGUGACUGUCUGCAAGCCGGGAAGAGGAACUUCACCAGCCAGAACCUCAGCCUUGGACUCCCAGCUCCCAGAGCUGCGAGAAGAAAAAUUUGUGUUGUUUAAGCCACCCAGUUUAUGGCAUUUUGUUAUAGCAACCCAAGCAGACUACGACACGGAGGUGAGCACUGUUCUGAAUUUGGUGUUUAUCAACCCAAAGCAGGAUUUAUACUUUUACUACAUUUAUGUGGAUCCGUGAACAAGAACUAGGUAAGUUUUUCUUUUUUGCAGUUUUAAAAACGUUACAUAGAUAGUAUCAUGGUCUACAGACAUUGCAUAUUCUAAAGAAGUAGUCUAUUUUCAUUAUAGCUGCUUUGAAAAUUUGAUGAAAAUUAUGGCCAAUUUCCCUACAGAAAAAUGUGCAAUAUUUUGCAUAAAAUUUCAGACAGUCCAUAAACUGUGAAGCUCAAUCAUGAACCCAGAUUAAGAACUUUUGCUCUAGUUAUAAUUACUCUUAAGAAUAUUCACCCCACAAUAUUGUAAGGUCCUAAACAUGUAGAAAUAGAGUAAAUCAUGACUACUAUUCUGUGCUCACUAAGACUGGAACAUGGACUCACAUUUUAGAAAGAUAUUUAAUAAUAAAAAUUGGGAAUAAAAAUGACUUUUCUUUUGAGUCACCAGAAAAUUAAAUUAUCUACAUAUUCCAUUUUCCAAGUUUUCUAAAUAAUUGAGGUCCAGCGGCAGAGAAUUACACGGUAGUGAUAUUGACUUGGUAAGGUGUUAAUGAAAAAUAAGCUUCAUUUGACCUGACAGGAAGGGUUUUAGUUAUUAUAAAAGAAUAGAAGUAAAAAAAUAAUGUUCCUAUAAUUUAAUACCUUGAUUACUACAGUUAAAUAUCAAGUCCCAACUUGAUAUUUACAAGUUCCCUCAUAAAAUGCGAGGACACUCAUCUACCUCCCUAGGAAACUGGAAAGCAAAGGAUUUUUUAAGAACCCGGUGUGAAGCUUCUUGGAAAAGAUGCCCAACAUAAGGAUGUAAUCGUUUUCUGGCAUGUUGGUGUGUGCCUCUGUACUGCACUGUGCCUUCCUCUGAUAGUAUCAGAAUACUGUGAAAGACAUUCAAGGCCAAAUGAACAUUUACAGAUGAAUUACCACCUGCCAUGAACACAGAAAGAAAUAUUGAUGUUAAAUAGAGCCAUUUGAGAACUCAAGUAGGGGAAAAGAGUGUGGAAUGAAUUGAGAUCUGAUGAGCCUAGCCAAGUUCCUGACGGGCAAGGUUAAAUUGUCCCGCAGAAAAUAGUGCAGGUCUAGAAGGCAGCAGGAUAUUAUCUGGGAAUCACAUUCUUGUUCCUGUUGAAAUCCAGUGUCGCCUAUCUUUAUCAAGGCCUGCUGGAAGCUAUGAAGGAGACACAUUCAGAGAUUAGCUCUGGAGCAAAUCUUUCCCAGGCAGAAAGGAAAAGGAAAAGGCUUAACUAUCGUAAGAUGAGAAAUAGAAGAUAGCAUGUAUAAAGUCAAAGCGAGACAGAAGUCUGUGGACAGGAACAAUGUGUAGGAAAAAAGAUCAUUUUUAGGCCUCUUGGCCCGUAAAGAGAAAUGAAGUGACAGAGAGAUAGAAGGGGAGAGGCUGAGGAAACUGAGUUGCUCAUACCUACAGGGAGAUGGGCAUUCUGAACAUUAUUCUCCUAGGUGACUGCUGGGUGGACAGAGCAGCACUGAGGACCAGCGUGCACCUUUGAGUCUGUACGUAUAUAUGGAGGGAGAGAGAGAGAGAUUGCUUGAUUGAUCUCUGGAGGACAUAGGAGAAGAGGCAGUAUUAAUAAGAUUUAGGAGGAAGGAGAGAAAGAAUGAUGACUAGGAUAGCCACACCUUGACUGACUCCCCAUAUGGCCUAUCUUCUCCUGAGAGUGUGGUAGGUUGAAAAAUGGACCCUCAAAAGAUAUGCACUUCCUAAUCCUGGGAACCUGUGAAUGCUACCUUAUAUGACCAAAAGCAAAGGUCUUUGUAGGUAUGAUUAAGUGUCUUGAGAUGAGGAAAUUAUCCUGGAUUAUCCUGGAUUUUCUCUAAGUGAAAACAUGUGUAUCCUUAUAAGAGGGAGGCAGAGGGAGAUUUGUUACACAUGCAGAAGAGAAAGAGGCAAUGUGACCACAGAGGCAGAGAUAGGAAUGAUGCGGACAUAAGCCAAGGAAUGCUGGCAGCCACAGAUGCUGGAAGAGGCCAGGAAUGGAUUUUCCCUUACAACCUGGAGUCAGCAGGGCCCUUCUGACCCCCUGAGUUCAACCCAUUGAAACUGAUUUCAGACUUCUGGACUCCAGAACUGUGAGAAAAUAAAUUUCUGUUGUUUAAAGUCUCCCAGUUUGUGUUAGUUUGUUACAGUGGCCAUAGGAAAUUAACGUAGAGACCAAAUAGAAAAUUAGCAGCAGAGAAUCACACAACAGGGAUGCCAAAGAUUAUAUAGAAGAGGACUCUUUGAGUGAGAGUUACAGAGUUCAGAAUCCCAGUGGGCUUUACUCACUUUAGACUUUUUGACAUCUGAGUUAUGUAACCAAAUGAGUUUCCCAAAGUAAGAAGGUAUAUGAGAAAAGAAUUAAGCAUUUAUCCUGCCUUUUCAGUAGAAUUGUAUUCCACAAUAGCCGAGUAAUCCCAUUGACGAGGGAAGGCUCUUAUUUUUUUAAAUUUUUCCUUUUUCUCCCCAAAACCCCCCGGUACAUAGUUGUGCAUUUUUAGUUGUGGGUCGUUCUAGUUGUGGCAUGUGGGAUGCUGCCUCAGCGUGGCCUGAUGAGCGGUGCCAUGUCCGUGCCCAGGAUUCGAACUGGUGAAACCCUGGGCCACCGAAGCUGAGCAUGUGAACUUAAUCACUCGCCAUGGGGCCGGUCCCGGAAAGCUCUUUUUUAAUACAGGGAGAAGGAAUUAUAGAACUAGGAAAUCAUCAAUUUUCAACCACUUAUGAAAAAAUUGAGGCAAGGAUCAGGCAAAGAUCAUCGGUGGUUGCUAAAGCAUUAGAUCAGUGGUUCUCAAGGUCAGCUCCUCACUGGAAUCACUGAGGGGCUUUGAAAACGAUUGAUGCCUAUAGCCAACCACUAGGGAUUCUGAUGGAACUGUUCUGGAGUAGGUUCCGGGCAUCAAGAUAUUCAGAAGCUCCCAGGCGAUUUCUAAUGAGCAGCCUAGGUUACAAAUGACUGCUGCCAAAAUGUCACUCUACAGAUUUAAAAAAAUAAUUAAUUAAUUACUUUUUUUAAUCACACAAGGAGAAAUGUACCUCACAAUGGAGAGAUCUGACUGUCACUACCUCAACCCAGUGAGCAAAUUUAGCGUCACUGUGCUUAGAACUACCAGACAUUAUGUACCUUUCGAUGGGAUGUGAUGCAGUACAUGAUCUUAUCAUGAUGAAUAAAUAGACAAGGUCCUUAGCUAUGUAAGAGUCCACAGAAAAUUAGAAAUUAUAACUGCACCAAGUGCUACAAAGGAGAGGUACACGCUGACAGAAGAGGGUUUAGGGGGGACAGAUCUAGGAUGAGGAGUCAGGACCAUAGCGUCCUGGGUGACACAUGCAAUAGUGAAAUUCACACCAUUCCUCCAUUCGCUGCUCCUAGCUGUCUCUCUCAAACCUCAUUUCUGCCACAUCAUCUGUUUGGUUCAAGCUGCGUUCCGGGGGGAGUGGGAAGCUCAUUUUAUAGACCUCAUGUGAGUGCCCCGCAGCCUCCUCCUCCUCCUUCACUGCUUAUUGCUGAAGUAACAGCCCAAAAGAAGAGCAGCCUGCUCCUGCCUAAGUGCCCACGGCCCCCUGGGUGGCACUGUGACCAGAAUGCCUUCCUUUUCCACUCGGAUACUCAUGAGCCAGCUCUUGAAUCAAUAUUGGGGCAGUUUCCUCCCUUGGGAAGUGUGGCAGGCUGGGAGGACUGCUAGCUUUGGCAUCAAGCAGUUCUGUGUUUGAAUUCUUUCUCUGCCAAUUAGCAGCUCUGUGACCUUAAGCAUUGUAUAACCUUUGAACCUUGAUCUUUCUGAUCUAUAAAAAGGGAAUAAUAAUAAUACCUAUUUACAGUGUACAUAUGAGGACAAAAUAAGAUAAUGAGUGAAAGUGCUUAGGAAGAGAGCUGGUGCAUAGUAGGUGCUCAAAGAAUGGAGUCCUUCUGCUUUAGACUCUAAUCACCUUCUUGCCAAAUUGGUGGAAAGAAUGACUUGCCAAUGUGGUAGCCUGUCUUGUGCUCUCAGUAUGUAGAGAAAUGCUAGUGGUAUGUGAUGAGGAUUUUUAGGCUGCUUAAUUUUAAAAUGGCUUAUGAUGAGGAUUUUUAGGCUGGUUAGUUUUAAAACUACAGAUGAGAUUCAGGCUCCAAGGAGUGGGAUUUGUUUGCCCCUUUGCUGGGAAACAUUUACAUUUCUAAGGGAAACCUCUAUCUGUGAAGAUGCCUCCCUCUCCGUGCCAGGAAGAAGGGGGAAUGGUCUUAUCUCUAGAAGCUCUUAAUGUGGAAGGCAAGAACUUAAGUUGGUUGCUGUCUGGCAAUCUCAUGUAACUGAUUUAGGGUGGUGGCUUCUGACCUUUACUUGAUCCGAUUUGAUUCUUGUCUAAAAGUCAUGGGAUCACCCAACGACCAGACCCCACCUGCACUGAUACCAUUUUAACUUUUUUUCAUGUUCUCUCCUUUGUCUUCGUAAAGAGAUGACUCACAUACCUAUGCCUUAAAUUUAGCCCUAACCCUCAACUCGGGGCAGCAGCAGGAGCUCUGCCUGCCCAUGGGUCCUGUCCCCAUGCCAGCGGGGGCAGCAGCAGGAGCUCUGACUGCCCGUGGGUCCUGUCCCCAUGCCAGCGGGGGCAGCAGCAGCGGCUCUGCCUGCCCAUGGGCUCCGUCCCCAUGCCAACGGGGGCAGCAGAAGUGGCGGCAGCAGAAGCUCUGACUGCCCAUGGGUCCUGUCCCCAUGCUCUUCCACACUAUUCUCUAAAUAAAAGAGCGCUACUGCCAGAUCUUAAGAGUCUAAGAAAUCUUUCUUUUGACUCCUCGGCUCACCGACCCCGCAUCAGUAUGCACUUUGAUUUCAUUCCUUCUCUAUGAGGGCUUCUCCAGAAUCCAAAAUCCAAAUUGCCUGCUUGAGAAGACAGCGUCAGCGUCCAUGCAGAGGAUGCGUCUCGCAAUCUCUACCUCGUCCCUGAGUUCCGGCCCCAUGCCAACCUUGUGAAUCCUCAUUCAGAUUGAAUUUCUCCCUCACCCAUCUAGGGCCACAUUCCACAUCAGCUUCCUUCACUGAACAAUCAUUUACUGAGAACUUGCUAGCAUCAUUCUAAGCACUGGAGAAACAGUGCAGUGGACAGAUCAUCUGCAUUCAGAGAGCUUACACGCAGUGGAGGUGACAGAUAACUCAAAAGCAAGUAAAUACAUAGUAUAAUUGCAGAUACAUCCUGUGAAGAAAAUAUAACACAGCAAUUGGAUAGAGAGCGAGGAAGGGUAGGGAGAGUUUUUUUAGCUAGAGCAGUCAGGAAACUUUUUUGUCCAGGAGACAUUUCGAUUGAACAGACUGAACAGAGAAGGAAGUCCCACAAAGAUUAGGGGAAAGAGCUUUCCAGAUGGAGGCAACAGCUGGUGCAAAGGCCGAGGCUAGACUUAGUUUAGGAGGUUUAAAGGAUUGAAAGACCAGUGUGAAUGGUGAGAGAUGAGGUCAGAGAAGGAGGCGGGGUCAGAUCAUUCAGGGCCGUGGUAAGGAGCUGGAUUUUAUUCCACUGGAAUAGAAAGCCAUUUUGAGGACUUUUAGCCAGAGAGCAAAUGCCCUAAUUUUCACCUUAGAAAGAUCACUUUGUGAUCACUCUGUGUGACAAAUGGUCUGUGUGUGGAUAAUGGCGGAGGCAGGCUGACCUGGGGGAGGUUAUCAUGCAGUCUAGAAGAGAGGAUGGCAGCUUGGAUUAGGGUUACAGCAACAGUGAUGGUAGGGACUGGUAGGAUGUGUGAUAUGCUUUUGAACUGAACAGCAGAACUUAACUAAUUGGAUAUGGCCUAAGGGAAGGAGAAGAAUCAAGAACGACCCCCAGAUUCUUGGUCUAAUUAACUGGUGACUGGUGGUCCCAUUUAAUUAGAUAGGAAAGAGUUUGAGGGAGAGUGGAUCUUGGAAAAGUAAAAGAGAAUUCUGUUUUGGUCAUGUUAACUUGGAAAAGUUUCUUAGACAACUAAUUGUAAAUAUCAAGUAAAUAACACAAGUCUUGAAUAGGGAGAUCCUGGCUUGAGUCAUUGAGAAUCAUUAGCUUAUUAGAUUAGAUAGUAUUAAAGCCGUGGAGAAGAAUAUAAAUGGAGAAGAAAAAAGGUCCAAGGACCAAGACCUGGGGCAUCCCAACAUGUCAUGUGAUGUCAGAAUUGUGGCCUAGAAUCCUCCUGACCUUCUGGGCUCUCUAUCUAAUGCUCCGCCCUAGGCCCAGCUCAAAGCCUGAGGCUUUCCCUGUUUUUCCUAGUUGACCCUGAUUUUGCCUUUUUCAACCCCAGCUGGUCUUACAAUCUAUUUCCCUGAUGUAGUCACACGUGGUCUUGCUUGGUUACUUUAUCUCUUUGGUUUGCAUUAAUCUCCUUGCCCCACCUAAAUUGCUGCCUCUUGGAGGGCAGUGAACACAUUUAAUAAAUCCAUGUAUCUUCAAAAUUUAACAGAGAACUAUCAAGUGCUCAGAAAUCCAUGUUGACUGAUAGGAUAAGGCUGCUUGGGAAAGGCCCAGGAGGUCAUGCUGGUGCUGCUGUGUUUGUGACCCCCAUGUCUCCUGGCACACUCCCUCCAGGUGGUGCCACCAGGCAGGGAUAAACCAUUGUCUCCACUGUGGGAGAUUAAAUAAGCACCAGAUAAUCCCUCGGCGAGGCAGGCAGGCAAAGCAAAGCACAAAGAAGUGAAAUUGCUUUCUUGAUAAAGAAACAAACAGAAACAAAACAACACAACAUAAACAAAACCCAAACUUAAGUGGAAGGGAAACGGCCUUCAGCACCCACUCUGGGAGCCUGACCACAAGAUCUGUUUGUUGAAUGAGGUAAGCCAAUUUGAACACCAGUUAGUCCCUAUUACAUUUCUAGAACACUGUCAUUACUGAAAAUGUUGUGGCUGAGUGUUUUCUCUGUGCUUCUCUUUCCUCCUUGAAUGUGACAAUUGCCUGCAGCUUACAGAGCUGUUAGAUCGUUAGCUGUGGCCAGAAUGCCGACUCCUCAUGGCCUGCUCAAAGCCUGUGCAGCGUCUGACCAGCAGCACAAUGGACAAAGACGCUCACAGAUAAUGGAGAACUAUGAGGGAGGGAGGAAAAUGGAAGGGAAGCUGUGCAUUGAAGCCGGGGAACACAAAAACUAUCACAGCAGAUGUAAGUGAGGAAGAACAUGAAAAUGCUGAUGAAUGGAAGGGAGUUGAAACUAUAGAAACAAAGAAAAGAUAAGAUUAUUGGAAAAGGAACAGAAAAGCACAACAUGAAACAUGGAUCAGAGAAGAGAGAAUGAAUGUAAAAGUAACUAGAAAAAACAGUUGAUGUGUGGAUUAGUGUGAAAAUUAUACACAAAAAUGGAAAAAAAUAACUCUUUUUAGGGUAAACUUUGUGAUACUUUAGGGCCUUUGGAAUACUUGACCAGGAAUGAUGAAUAACAGUGACUUUAAUGGAAUUAGAUAAUGCAUUAUUAAUUAACUUUAGUGGUAUAGUACAUGCCUGAAUUUAUUUGGAAAAUCAGAAAAAUUAAACAAUACAUAAUUAAUAUAAUUCAUGAAAGUCACAAGGAAUGAAUUGUUUUUAGUUACUAUAAUUAAUACAUGCUUACUGACAUGUAUACCCUUAGAGCAAUCAGUGAGUUUUCAUUGAUAUUUCUUCUAGUAAUGAGACUGAACUCUGUAUCACAUGAUAUACAAAAACUAAUGUGAAUAACAAUGAAGAAAGGAAAGAAAUGAUUCAUUUCUGAAGCCUUCUGUAUUGCAGGAAGACAAUUUUUUUUUAUACUUACCAUAGUCACAUUCACAAAAUUGUAGGGUAUAAAGUUGGAAAGCAGCCUAUGAACAUAGUUUGUCCAUUCCCUCUGGCUCUGAAUGCAAUCCUAAGGCCUAAAAUAGUUGGGAAGAUUUGACCACGGUCAAAAUAGAUUUAUAAAAACUAAAAUGCUUUGCUACUAUUACCAAUAGCUCAGCCAAUUUUUAGUGACAGAUGAACAGCUAUGUAUCCAUUCUGCCUAGAGUUAUCAAUCCAGAAGGCACCAGAGUCCCAUGGAUCAUCCAUCCAUGGUCCACCCACGGGCCAUCUGGGCUGGUGGGAAUGGCCAGUCCUUUUGAUAUUUCCUGAGUGAAUCACAUCAAGAAGGAUGGGGAGAAGAUAGGGUCAUUGGCCACAAACCAAUUAGUUGCUUUGUUUCACUCAAGUAUUACUUUCGGUCCUUGCUGGCACAAGUGAAAUUAAGAAAGGUGUCAUAGAAAAUAUUAGAUUUGAAAUAAUCUGAUUAAAAAAUGGGCUAAAGACUUGAAUAGACAUUUCUCCAAAGAAGACAUACAAAUGACCACAGGUAUAUGAAAAAUGUUCAAGGUCACUAAUUGUCAGGGAAAUUCAAGUCAAAACCACAAUGAGAUAUCACCUCAUGUCUGUCUGGACAGCUAUUAACAAAAAACAAAAGAUAACAAGUGUUGGCAAGGUUGUGGAGAAAUUAGAAGUUUUGCACACUAUUGAUAGGAAUGCAAAAUGGUGCAGCCACUAUGGAAAACAGUAUGGAAGUUCCUCAAAAAAUUAUAAAUAGAACUACCAUAUGAUCCAGCAAUCCCACUUACGGGUAUUUAUCCAAAAGAAUUAAAAUCAGGAUCUCGAAGAGAUAUUAGCCCUCCUGUGUUCAUUACAGCACUAUUCACAAUGGCCAAGAUGUGAAAACAGCCUAAACGUCCAUCAACAAAUGAAUAGAUAAAGAAAAUGUGGUACGUAUCAUGGAAUAAGGCUGUGGAAUACUAUUCAGUCUUAAAAAAGAAGGAAAUUCCAAAAAAAAAAAGGAAAAUCUUGAGGAGAUUAUGCUAAGUGAAAUAAGCCAGUCAUAGAAACACAAAUACUACAUGAUCCCAAUUAUAUGAGGUACCUAAAGUAGUCAAAGUCGUAGAAUCAAAGAGUGGAAUGACAGUUGCCAGAGACUGAGGGGAGGGGGGAAAGGGGAGUUGUUAAUAAUUGGGCAUGAAGUUUCAGUUAAGCAAGAUGGGUAAGUUCUAGAGAUCUGCUGUACAGCAUUGUACCUGUAGUCAACAAUACCGUAUUGAACAGUUACAAAUUUGUUAGGAGGGUAGAUCUCAUGCUAAGUGUUCUUAUCACAGCAAAAUAUCAUAACAAAACAAAGCAAAAGGCCAGGAUCAGUGGAUUGCUACAAACUCUUUAAUUUAUGCUACUUUUUUAAAAAAUCAAGAGGUCCAAAUAUAUCAGAAAUAAAGAAAAAAAUCUAUUUAGAGACUUCAAAAAAGAAUUAGAUCUGAGAUUUAGGAUGGUUGGCUACAAACUAUCUGCCCAUCCUCUGACGCCAACAAGCUAAGUGGCUUAUUCAGUGGCCACUUUUAGACCCCGUGGUACACUGAUCUAUUCUUUGGUUUUAAGGCCCCUGGGAACUCUUUUUCAGAGCUCAUAUCAGGUCCAGUGAAGUCAACCUAAAAUGUGGAGAAAAUUGGUCAUGGUUUUGGAUUUGUUUAGGAAGCCCCAAAAGUACCUGGGAGGGGAAGUUGGUAACAGGUCUCAUGAGUGACUCAUAAUCUCUGAAACCAACUCCCUCCCUCUGUAGUUCUGGGCCAGGUUUCAGCUGAGAACAAUGAAAGACCCCAGAGGGGGACUGCAGCAAAUGUGGGGUUCCAGGCACUCAACAAUGUUGCCCAUUGCCAUGGCCAUUUGCUGGGGAAAUGACUUUGGUAGGAAAGGUUACAUUUUUCCCUUCUCAGAAUUUGGGGAACAGAGCAUCCAUGAUAGAGAAAAUAAUAUGAAUAAAUGCAAGACUCCAACAGAAGGCCUGUGUUGCAUCCCUCCACCUUUUGGUCAGAGACAAGCACACUACCCUACAAAGAGGUUAAGGGACUUGCUCAAGUUUGCUGCCAAUCAGAGAUGAAGCAUUGCUUUCUUCCUUCCACAAAACUGCAUUCUUUGUGUACAACCAGAAAUAUUUCAUGCCCUCACAGGACAAAAAAGAUCAAUAAGAUAAUGCCCCUAAACCCCAACCCUUGACCCUUGGCAGGUGGCCACUCUAUAUUGUACUUUACUUACAGCUUAUCUUUUCAGACAUGGCCUCUGCUCCUGUUCCCAGAGCAGGAGGCAGUGAAUGGGAAGCUCCCUGUAGAGAAUGACCCGUGAGGCUUUUCAUCAGAGCACAGGGAAGCUGUGUUUGAAAUGACUCCACACUUGUCUUAACAGGCACGACCCUUAAUCCCAGGACACAUUUUUCACUGUCGUGUCUGCCUUGUAGCCUGAAUCAAGACAGUGAUUCAUUUGAGUUUUUCACAUUCUCUCUUUCAUUAUUAGAAGAACCCUUGGGUCAUUUAUAGUUGGGACCUUGGCCCCACUUAUCCUUUAUUUAUAAAAAAGCAUGAACACUGUUCCUGUUCACAGGGAGGCCUACUUUACUUUCACUCCAUUUUCUUCUGUUCACAAGGUCAGUAUUUUUGUCUUCUUUCCUCACAUAGACUAUUUUUACAUAUGUGAUGAGAAGGAAGCUCAAAGAAGACCUUUAAGGGCUCUGUCACUCUAUGGCUUGUUAAAUCCCAUGUAGCCUUGUCCUUUGCCUACCCACUUCUCAUGUGGCCUAAAGUGUUUUUCUCUGAUGAGUACAAUUACAGAGAGUGUAUUUUGGCUCAGCAUAAAGACAAGUGAACAGCAGUUAUACAUGCCUGAAAAAGAAAUGGGCUGUCUCCAGAAGUAGUGAUCUUGGCCUUUGAGGUAUGUAGUCUAUGCAUUGGCCAAUGGCCACGUAUCAGAGAUAACGUUGGAGAGGAUUUGUGCACCAGAUUAGGUGUGGCUCAAUAAGAGCAAACAUUUGAGUAUUUCUUAUGCUAGGCAUAAGGAAAGUAAAGAUAAGUGAGGCAGCCUUGCAGGGUUAGAUUAGAUGAUCCUUCAGGUUCCUUUCAACUUUAUACUAUAUCUGGAUGCAUAUACUGACACUUCUAAGAAAAGUCUUAGUUACAGCUGGUUUCUUAGAGUUAUUGACCUGGAAUGAUCUCUAGAGAUCAUUUUUGUUGAGCCUAUUUUUUCUAAUAGAAGAAGAAAAUUUGGCUCCAAACGUGAAGUAUUAUUUCCCAAGAUCACACAGCUAGUCAAGUUGUUUAUCUAAAACGAUAGACAAACUCCACGGAUUACAGAGAAGGCAGAACACUUAUGGCAUGACAGUGUUCCAAAUUUCCCUUCUGACUGGGGUUGGAAAUUCCUACUUCUCUAGCUGCUAUCAUAGCUGCAGUUUGGGAAAGGGCCUAAUUUUGCCCUCCUGUUUAACACCCUGAUUCAUAAGGGAAGAAAGUGGUGGUGGUGUCGGUUUCUGUUAAGACCUCAAAAUCAUCACUCAAAAGGAAGUGUAGCAACAAGAAGGAAGAUGGUUGUCCCCCUUAUCUGAGGUUUCACUCUCCUUGGUUUCAGUUACUUGUGAUCAACCAGGUCUGAAAAUAAUGCUUUGUCACAAUAUCUACAUCAUUCACCUCGCUUCAUCUCAUGACAUAUGCAUCGUAUGAUCUCACGUCAUCACAAGAAGAAGGAGAAGAAAGUCAGCAAGACAUUCAAGAUGAAUAAAAAAGGAAAAAUGAUGAGACGAGAACGGGCCUGGUAAGGAAGGAAAACAAGCAAGGUUAUUGACUUAGUGAGAACAAAAUGAGACAAAUUGAACAAGUGAGAAUUGACUUAGAAUUGUAUCUAAUAAGUUUUCAUAUAUAAUAUUCCAUUAUAAUUAAUAUCCAAAUACUCUGCAAUUGUAGUUUUUAUUUUCUCUUUGACCCAAGAGUUACUUAAACAAGUGUUCUUUCUUUUUCCCUCAUACUGUCCUUCUCUCUCUCCCUCCCUGACUCCCUCUCUCCCUCCUUUCCUUCCUUCUUUUAAAAAUUUCCAAUUAAUUGAAGAUUCUUUUUGUUUUUUUUAAUGAUUAUUUCUAAUUUUUUUUGCAUUGUUGUCAGAUGUGGUCUGUAUCGUUUCAACAGUUUGAAAUUAUUGAGACCUGUGUUGCUACCUAAUAUAUGAUUAGAUUUUACAAAUAUUCCAUGGCAGCUUGAAAAGGAGGUAUACCCUGUAAAUCUGAUAUUAAAUUUAUAAAGAUAUUAAAAUGAUUUUAUUCUUUAUUAUUUUUAUCUACCUAAUCUUUUAGGAAUGCAAU